Molecule: ribosomal RNA, 468 nt
Filed under: uncultured bacterium
Lineage: Bacteria
Description: partial 16S ribosomal RNA
Rfam family: Bacterial small subunit ribosomal RNA
Source: RNAcentral
GACGAACGCUGGCGGCGUGCUUAACACAUGCAAGUCGAACGGGCCGGCCCUGCUUUUGUGGGGUGCUCGGGUGGCGAACGGGUGAGUAACACAUGAGUAACCUACCCUUGACUUUGGGAUAGCUUCCGGCAACUGAGGCUAGUACAGGAUAGGAGCUCCUGCUUCCUGGUAGGGGUUGGAUAGUUUCGGCGGUUGGGGAUGGACUCGCUGCUUAUGAGCUUGUUGGUGGGUUAGUGGCUUACCAAGGCUUUGAGGGGGAGCGGGCAUGAGAGGGUGACCGGACACAUUGGGAUUGAGAGACGGCCAAGACUCCUACGGGAGGCAGCAGGGGGGAAUAUUGCACAAUGGGCGGAAGCCUGAUGCAGCAACGCCGCGUGCGGGAGGACGGCCUUCGGGUGGGAAACAGCUUUUGCCUGUGAUGAAGCGUGAGUGACGGUAAGGGGUAAAGAAGCACCGGCUAACUACGUG